This is a non-coding RNA of Phascolarctos cinereus (koala), 1273 nucleotides long. The record is from RefSeq and is a predicted model, not a curated record. NCBI's taxonomy places the organism in Eukaryota, Metazoa, Chordata, Mammalia, Diprotodontia, Phascolarctidae.
AGGCAGAGCAGGGGAAGGGGAAGGGGAGAACAAACAAAAAACCGUGAAACCACAGGAAAUGUUAACCUUUGCUCAUGCAAAACAAAUAGGAUUUCAAACCCCUCUGCCAAUGCCAACCACAGUCUGGAACAUCUUCCCCCUCCCUCCCGCCGAGCUUCCCUCUGUCUUUCGAUGCCCAGCUCAAGACGCCCCUUCUUGCAGGAAGCCACCGGCCAUACCACCGUACGGCCUCAGAAAACACUCAGGAUGGUACCCUAUGUUUGGGACUUGGUUUAGAUAACCUUCCAUUGCCUAAUUAUUUCAAGGCUUAUAGACCACUCAGUUUCACCCUCACUAGCUGUGUAAAAUGAUCUAGUGACCUGGUCAUAUGUGAAAUGGGGAUCAGGAUAUUUGCACUACCAACCUCACUGUGGGGGAAGGAAGGGCUUUCUAAAUAGCUUCAAGUCCUACAGAAGAGGGAGUGUUACCCUCGUCAUCAUCGUUCCUAUCUCUACAGCCAGACUGGGAGCUCCCCAGAAACACGGUCCAAGGCACCUCCUCCUUUCUCAGCCUCAGUGCCCAGCAGAAGGCUGGGCACACAGAGGUGGGAGUCUGGGUAUGCAUCAUGUGAGAUAACCAGCACGAGGGCACAGAACAAGGGUGCCCCUCUCUCCUGAUCCCUGAUGUGGUGAGGAACCUUCCAGGGCAUCCAGAUUGUAUCCUUUAUUUUACAGAUGAGCAAACAGAAAGCCAGAGAUGAAGUGACUUGCUCCUGGCCACAUUGGUAAUAAAUUCCUGAAGCUGCAUUUGAACUCAAGUCUUCCUGGUAGCAAGAUGAACUGGGAUUCAGACUCAGGUCCAAUAACUCUGAAGCCAGCACUUUCCAUCGGACCACACACCUCCUAGGAUGGAGGCCCAGAGGUGAGGGACUAUGGAUGUGGAUCACUGCAUACCCUUGACUCUAGCGCCACCUUCUCCAUGGAGCCUUUCCUGAUUCCUCUCAGCUGCCUUCCUCCUCGCAGUUACCUUGCAGGAGGGGCAGACAGAGGCUUCAGAGAAGGAUUUGUCUAAGGCCACACAGGCAUAAGCAGUCGAGUUGGGCUCCCAAGCCCAGGAGGAAGGUCUUCUGACUCCAAUUCUGACUGAUGCUCUGCAAAACCAUGCUGCUGCCUAGUUACAGGAACACAGGGAAGAUUCACCGUUUCUUCUGAGUGAGAACUCCCAGUGUGGGAGCCCCCUCCCAUGAUGCAGAUCUAUUAUCCUGGCUCAUGGCUCUGGAACAAGAAGGGACCCC